GUCAUAGCCUGGUCUGACAAUGGCAGAAGGUUGUACCUGGAGGAGGCGAGAGAGGACGGAGGAGAGAGAACGCAGGAAUUGAGCGGACAAAUUGAGAAAAGGCCCUAGAUGUCAAAACUCUUCUGUGAAGUUCUCAGGUAGGAUACACACUAUCCUCAAUGAAAGUUUGCUAUCGAGGAGAGGAGGACACUUCCAUCGCCUACUAACGAAUUGACAUCUCCCCUCAACCACCAUCAGUUUCUGGGUCACAGAAGAGAGGAGGACAGAGGAGAAGG
Molecule: long non-coding RNA, 275 nt
Organism: Oncorhynchus tshawytscha (Chinook salmon)
Lineage: Eukaryota; Metazoa; Chordata; Actinopteri; Salmoniformes; Salmonidae
Source: Ensembl